GUGAGUUUUCCUGCUUAUCCUGCACAUCAGGAAUGAGGAAUAUUUCAAGUCCAUGAAUGAGCUAUUGCAUAUUGAUGUGUCAGUUACAGAUAAAAUUUUCUGGUUCCUCUUUGUCACAUAUGACACUGCAGUGAACGGUUCCAGAUAUACUCCUGUGAUGUGGCCUCUGUUACACUAUGAGCAGAAAAUUGGGGAAAGGAGCCAGAUGCCGUGGCACACUCCUGAAAUCCCGGCUACUCGGGAGGCCGAGGCAGGAGCCUUCCAAGUUCAAGGCCAGCCUGGCCAACUUAGUGGCCAACCCCCAAAUAAAAAGUGGUAAAGGGCUGGGGACCUAGCCCAUUGGCACAGCACCCUGGGUUCAAUCCCCGGUACCAUAAAACAAAGCAAAUGAAACGACGAAGACCAAAACUCAGAAAACUGGGGAAAGAGUGUUGGGGAGGGACAGUGUAGCUGGUUAGAAUAAGAGCCCUUAUCAAAGGCUUUGUAUGUAUCAGCCAUGACACAAUGUUUUAUGUGACUCGAUUUAUUUAUUCCUCACCAUAACCCCGUGGAGUAGGUGCAGUUAUAUCCCCAUCUUGCAGUGGGAGAAUCUGAGUCACAGAAGGAUGAAGUGACUUACCCAAAGUCCCAGAGAGCUGGGCAGAGGCAGGAUUUGAGUCCAGACUGGCUGGCGGCACAGUCCUUUCUCUUCCUGGGUCCUGUGGCCUCGAUGAAGGCUUCAUGAAGGAGGAAAGACCUGAGCUAGGCUUUGGAGAAGGACAGGUCCCACGUCAUAGAGACAAUCUGAGUGGUGGCCCAGGGAAGAACAGGGCCCAGGUGAGCCGGUUAGUUCCCCAGGGAAGAAGAAAGUGACCUCAGCCAGCAAAGGGCAUGUGUUGGGAGCAGGGGACGAUGGUGGGGCUGGAGGAUGAGGACAGAAUAGAAAAAGUCUUAGCCUCUAGGCAGAGGGAUUGACUGGAUCUGGAAGUGGUUUUGAAGUGUUGAAGGUGACUUGCUAGGAGAGAGGUCUGGGGAGGUUUCUGGGUGCCAGUGUUAGGUCUGGGGGAGGAGGCGUGGAGGCAGGAAGAGGCUCUGAGUCUAGCAUGGGUGGGUGCAGGGAUGAAGGAAGAGGGAGCCCAUGACACCUUCCUUCCCGUCAAGUUAGCUCAUGAUGAGAAUCAGCCCAGCAACUGCGCAGCUGCUCGGUUUUCUUACAGUAAUGCAUGGAAGGAGCCAGAGGGCUUUGGGGGGAAGGCGCUGGGCCUUCUUCAGUGGAGUCUGUUUUCCUGUGGAGGCUGUUUCCCGCCCAGCCAGGGGCGGCAUUGCAUUCCGACUUGGUCAGAUCAGAAAGCAGC
RNAcentral lists this long non-coding RNA (1334 nucleotides) under Marmota monax (woodchuck). Lineage: Eukaryota; Metazoa; Chordata; Mammalia; Rodentia; Sciuridae. The record is from RNAcentral.